GCAUGAAGUUGGAAUUGCUAGUAAUCGCGGAUCAGCAUGCCGCGGUGAAUACGUUCCCGGGGAUUGUACACACCGCCCGUCACACCAUGAGAGUCGGGAACACCCAAAGUCCGUAGUCUAACCGCAAGGAGGACGCGGCCUAAGGUGGGUUCGAUAAUUGGGUGAAGUCGUAACAAGGUAAC
Molecule: ribosomal RNA, 182 nt
Filed under: uncultured bacterium
Lineage: Bacteria
Description: partial 16S ribosomal RNA
Rfam family: Bacterial small subunit ribosomal RNA
Source: RNAcentral